This 2748-nucleotide ribosomal RNA is filed under the name Triticum aestivum (bread wheat). RNAcentral describes it as "partial small subunit ribosomal RNA". The record is from RNAcentral. Lineage: Eukaryota; Viridiplantae; Streptophyta; Magnoliopsida; Poales; Poaceae.
UAGUCGGUUCAGCCGGAGUGCGACGUUCGCAUGUAGCGCCGGAUCGGGUAGUAAGGACGUAGCGCCGGAUCGGGUAGUAAGGAGGUAGCGUCCGUCCGGCGCAUAUAUUUUACCACUUGGGGGGAGGAUCCCAAGGUGAUUCUCUCCUUUUCCUCUAGCCUCCAGUCAAUACGCGGCGGCGGACGGCAAAAGGCUAGACGGAGUAGAGCGGCAGCGGCAGCUUCCGGAGCAUACUCCUAGCUCACCACGAACGCUUCUCCGCUGGUUUAUUCGUCUGGGGGGAAACCCUCGGCGUCAGGGGUUAGCUUCGUCGUCGUCGUCGAGGAAAGGCUCGGCGUUGGCCGUUAGCUUCGUUAGUUCGCCGAGGAGGGGCUCGGCGUCAGGCGUUAGCUUCGGAAGGGGAAAAAGACAGCGUUUAGGCGUUAGUUUGGUCAGGAAAAAAUCUAUGUAGGUCUUUGGCCAGAAACCUUAACUAGAGGCUCAACGUGUGGUGUAGCUACUGGUUUAGUAGGCACGUCCCGGAGUCGUUUAGGAGGGAGUUGUAACACAUCCUAUUACUUCAACUAUACGAGUCGUUCAACGGACUACUGUAAAACGAGUUGUAACACCUCGCUGAACUAUAACGACUACGGUGUGCUUGGUGGUAGGAUAGGUCUGCAACCUUCGUCUAGGGACGCUAUGAGAGUUUCCAACAAUAUUACCAACCAAGAAAAGUCGGGUUCGUGCUUCCCUCCUUCAAUUGGAGUCUACUAUAUGAAGUCCGGUUAUGACGGUACGACCUUCGUUGGUCCCCGUAUGAACUUUCCUCCCGCCCUUUAGGUAUGUCAUAAGUGGACAACGCGUACCUUAAGAUGAACCCUCUACUCAGGUAAAAGUAACCGGUCUGACAACGGUUGUGGUAUCGUUGUGUUUUCCAACGAAGUCAACUCAAAUAUUAGAAUUGCUUCAACGCGUUACAAAAAUGGUUAUUACUCGACGAGUGAAUACCCUCAGUCAAGUACAGUAAGAAACUAAGAACAGGUCAGUGUAAACCACCAGAACGUGCGGAGUGUGAUCUCUUAAACUCCAAUCCGCUUAGUCCGAAAGGCUUUUAAAAGUCAUAUACGUUCGUUAACCUCAAGGAGGCGGAGAUGGUGACACUAUACCCGUAACUCAGAAACGACCUUCACCUCGUGGGUGUCGAGUCACUUGAUCACUAACGGACGUCAUCCUAAUAAUUCUCCUAACUAGAUUUCACCCAUGGUUUUGAGUAUCAUGACUUUCAAUUACAUAAAUCUAGAGUUCUACUGGGGAAGACAGAACCGAUACGGGGAGACGAGGUCUGACAGUCGUAGUAAUUAUGACCAAAAAGAACCGUGUUCUACGAGUUCAAUUCACUCAACGAACCAUUUUGUCGUUAUUCGUUAGACGUAAACUUGAAGUUUUCGCUCUUCUAAACCCAGUUUGGCCUUCCAGCUUCUGUUAACAAUGGCCACAAGGUGUUUGAUUCCGCACACUUAAACAUAUUGUAAAAACUUCCUACGCUAGACUGAACCUAUUACAAGUAUGAGGUUCCCCGUGGGUCGGAAUUCCUUGAUACGUAGCACCACGCCCUAGUAAAUACACUUUACCAUUGCCCCCUCGUCUCUUUUGACAUACGUAAAUCGCUCCUCUUCCUGUUCCCUCAUCUCACCCUUGGUAGGCGUAGACUAAAGUUCGUAGCGUUGGAACGACUCCAGUCUUAGAAACCCUCCAAAGAUCGUAUACUGUUGUAACACGCGAAACAGGCCUUACAUUACCUUCGUCGCCACUCAGACCUCCCGUAUUUUGAAAUAUUCUCAGAUCACACAGUCUUAACGUUCGUUUGCCAAGUCUUCACCUGUAACUUCCUCUUCCACAGCGAGUGGGUGUUCGAGUUACACCCCUACGACAGAAGCCGGCAGGCCUAAGUCAAGGGGUUAAAUCUCGUACAACGAUGAACCAGUUGUAUGACGAGAACUCGACGUUCGAGUGAUCACUUGGAAAAGCCAAUACAUAUAAAAUUCUAACAUGUGGAGACAGGACCAAAUGACCGGGCGAAACAUAAAACACAGUUUAAAACAAGCAUUCAAUUGAUUAUUUUACAAUUUCGUACAGUGUUUUUUAAUAUAGUAACCUAAACAUAAACUUGCAUGAGGGAGGCAAGGAUUUAUGAGGGAGGCAGGGUUUUAAGAACAGAAUCUAAAUAGAUCUAUGCCUACAUAAAUUAUGAUUUUAUACUGAAUUAUGUAGACAUAAAUCUGUUUAGAUUCUCUUCUUAAAACCCUGCCUCCCUCAUAUUCAAACACAUUUCUAAGGUGAUACCUGAUGUAUGUUUCGUUUUACUCACUUAGAUGAGAUUUUACCAUCAGGUAUCACCUUUGAAUAUAAAUCCUUGCCUCCCUCAUCAAAGGUUACCAUAUUAAAAACCACCGUACGUAAAUGUUAAACAAUCAAUUUAAAUACUAAUUUUAAACUGUGAUUUAUGCUUCUUGGUUAUUUGGUCCUACCUCCAUCUCAUGACUCAUACCCUCCCAUUCAUCAUAACAAGGUAUUCACACUUUAUAAAAACGUUUGCAUUCAAAGCCUACACAAUAAACACUAUUUACGAACGUGAAAAAACAUGACACUUUAUCCUCAUAUAUCAUUCAUGAUGAAUAUUCAUCUCUUAAAUUCGGGCCGAUUCGAUCGGACCGACACCACUAAAGGGUCAAGAAACCCAUUAAGGAAAAAGAAUUUCCCAAGGACACC